GCUUAUGGCCAUAUCACGUUGAAAACAACGGUUCUCGUCCGAUCACCGAAGUUAAGCAACAUCGAGACUAGUGAGCACUUAGAUGGGUGACCGCUUGGGAAACCUAGGUGCUGUAAGCG
Octopus bimaculoides (California two-spot octopus) is the source of this 119-nucleotide non-coding RNA. Lineage: Eukaryota; Metazoa; Mollusca; Cephalopoda; Octopoda; Octopodidae. The record is from Rfam.